UGUGAGCUGGGUUGAGGAUGAUGAACAAGCCUCUGAGUAGAGUGUAGACCUGGGAUGAAAAAAUGAAGCACAGGGUCUUCCUUGGUGGUCCAGUGGCCAAGACUCCAUGCUCUCAAUGCAGGGGACCUGGGUUCAGUCCCUGGUCAGGGAACUAGAUUCUACCUGCCACAACUAAGAUCCCACACAGUGCAACUAAGACACAGCACAGCCAAAUAAACAAAUUUUUUUGUAAAAAGACACCAUUCAGAACACUAAAAGAUGCACACACAGCCUGGAUUGGAGAGGAGUUUGGCGGGGGUGAUAAGGGAGAUAUGUGUAUGUAGGGCUGAGUCCCUUCACCGUUCACCUGAAACUACCACAACUAUGUCUGUUAACUGGCUACCCCCCAAUGCAAAAUAAAAAGUUUUUUUUUUAAUAACACAAAUAAAUAAAAGUUUAAAAAAAUGAGCCACAGACUGAGAAAAAAUACUUAGAAAAUACUUACAUAUGGUUUCUAAAUACAGAAUCUAUGAAGAACUUUAUGGCUCAAAGAUAAAAAGACAACCCAAUUAGAAAUAAGGAAAAGAUCUGAAUAGACGUUUCAUUGAAGGAAACAGACUGUUAACACGCACGUGAAAAUACCAUUGUUCAUGAGAAAAAUGUAGAUCAAAAGCCCAAUGAGAUGACUGCUUCAAGGGUAGAGAGUUUCAGUUCAAGAUAAUAAAAAUGUUCUGAAGAAGUACAGGGGUUAAAGUGGCACAACUGAAUUAAAGCCACUGAACCAUACACUUAAAAAUGGUUAAAAUGGUAAGUUUUGUGCAUAUUUUGCCAUGGCUUUUAAAAGCCGUUGAGAUACCAUUUCACACCACCAGGAUGCCAGCUCCAAGUUGUCUUGGUGUUGGCACGGUGGAAAAACUGAACAGUCCUGCGGCGCUGCUGGGAGUAUAAAAGGCACAGACCCUUUGGGAAAUGGUUCGGGAGCUUCCAAGGAGGUAAACAUCAACUUGCCAGGCUUCCCUGCUGGGCCAGUGGUUGAGAGCCUGCCUGCCAAUGCAGGCGGCACGGGUUUGACCCCCGGUCCAGGAGGAUCUUCUGUGUCUCGGGGCAACUACACCCGUGCACCACAACUACCGACGCCCUCGCUCUCUACAGCCCGCGGCCCACGACCACAGAAGCCACCGCGACGAGAAGCCGGAACAUUACAGCGAAGCGGAGCCCCCACGCGCUGCCGGAGGACAGGUGACGGAGGGAAACCCACAGGUCCGGACUGGGCCACCCGAUCAGAAAACAACCAAGGUGAACGAUCUGCUGCUACUCAGGCUGUGAUGCUUCUGAUCUUGGACCAUGGCUGUCAAGGUCCCAAGGCAAACGGCGCUGCGACUGUUUACACGGUGGUCUGGGAGAAGAAGCAGGUGGACACAGCCACCACGAGGGCCAGCAGCGCCUCUCCUGGGAAAGAUGACAAGCCUGACCUGGUGAAGACAGCACCACAUCCCAGCAGAGGCUUCACUGGCCUCACUAAGGAGACCUAUUUCUUCCCCAAAAAAAGGCGCGUGCUCUUGUCCUCAAAAGUCACUGGGUCCUGCAACACCAGGCAAGGGGCACAAGAAUAUGAUCUAAGCACUGGGCACUGGACCCGGGCCCCCAGUCUUUGUCCCGCCCACACCUCCCCUUAGGCCUGCAAAACCCCGUCCCCUGACACCCCUGCUCGCCCUUUCAUCUCUGAGGGUGUGGGCCCUCCUCCUGGGUGUGCACUGUCCCCACAUCCACCAGAGUUUAGACAGUUUCUCUUUCCUGCACCCACCUCCUCCACUCGGCUACUGGUCCUUCAUCUGGACAUCCCACACUCAUCUCAGGGCCCAUCUGGAACCACAAGCUGAGAUUUUCCUUCCAAAAUCCCAUCUCAGGACAUAACCUGGUCCAGGCCACCAGGGCAGGACAGUCUAGACAUCAGGAAGCUAAAUAGAAAUUUCCUGUUCACGGGCACGCGGGUCAGCUCCACCUAGAGCUCUCCAGACAACUCAGACUCUACUCCCACAUAAUCCAACUGCUACUCUUCUGCCAAACAUACUCCUUCUGCCAACCUCCGCUCUCCAUCUCAUUCUUUAUCUGUAACACUUGGGAUAGUCCUUUAUCCUCCACUACAUUCACUCUCCAUUCGUAAAUGGAAAUCCCAUCGAUUCCACUCUGAAAAUCGUAUAGGGAAUCUGAUUAUUUCUCCCACCUCUCCUACUUCUAUUCUGGAGAGGUCACCGGAGAAACAUUUGCAGCAGCAUCCUCCUGAAGCUGCCUGCUUUCAGCCCCCACCACAACUCUGUGUUCACGCAGUUUCAAAAUCCUAACUCAGAUCAUGGCCAUCCAUAUUCUAAUGAAAAUCUGUGGCUCCCAGAAUCCAAAGCCCGUCAACAGAGGUGGGACUCCCAUGCUCACGCUGUCGGUUCCCGGCAGUGGAGACUGCAGAACUUUCCCGAAUGCUCCCAGGCCAGUCUCACCUCCGAGUCUUCGCACAUGCACAUCCCUCCGCCUGCACCCUCCACAUUUUAUCACACUGGACUCUGAAAUGCAGACUUCCACCCACGAACGCCCCAGUGUCCUGAGCACCGAAGCCUGGGGUUCAGUAGGGGACUUGCGGCACUGGGGUUCGGAGUCCAGGUGGAGGCCAAGAGACCCGGCUCUCUUACCAUGCCCGCAGUCCAGCUACAUGCUGGGUCAUGACCUCGGAACGGGUGGCUUUGGAGCCUGGGGCCCUUCUCCGUAAAGCGGAUACGAUGCACAGGGCGACGACUCCGGGUCGGCCACGGGCACAGACAGGCCUUGACGGACGACCCGGAGAACAACCCCGCGCCGGGCGGUCCCCCGACAGCCGAGGAAACAAGAACCCGGGGAGACGGGACGUUUGCUGAGGUCACGGGACACACAGGGCACAGUUGGGACCUCCUAGGCUGUCGUACCUACCCACUCCCGUUUCCGCGGGCCUGAGGAGCCCCCUGGACACCAACCACGGUCCAACAACUAGGUCCAUCCGCCCGCGACCGACAGAGAAGCAACCAUCUGAAUCCGGAAGUCCCGCCCUCCAAGGCGUGGCCGUCCCGGAAACGCCUAUUUCCUGGGCUAUCAUUGGUCAAUACUGGUGUGAACGCACAGUGAGGGAAGUUCUGGGUAGUGUAGUUCAAGUCGCGUGAGCCGUGAUGCGGUGCGUCCAGUCUAAUCACCUAGGCAACGACUCGGCGGCACCGCGAUAGGCUCAGGGAAAAGCGACAUAGACGUCCACGAGCCUGGAGCCAGUGAGGGUCAGGAUUUGG
Molecule: long non-coding RNA, 3281 nt
Organism: Bos grunniens (domestic yak)
Lineage: Eukaryota; Metazoa; Chordata; Mammalia; Artiodactyla; Bovidae
Source: Ensembl